This 264-nucleotide ribosomal RNA is filed under the name uncultured bacterium. RNAcentral's name for it is "partial 16S ribosomal RNA". It matches the Rfam family "Bacterial small subunit ribosomal RNA", at positions 524 to 783 of the family's 1533-position model. The record is from RNAcentral.
UACGUAGGGUCCGAGCGUUGUCCGGAAUUACUGGGCGUAAAGAGCUCGUAGGUGGUUUGUCGCGUUGUUCGUGAAAACUCACAGCUCAACUGUGGGCGUGCGGGCGAUACGGGCAGACUAGAGUACUGCAGGGGGAGACGUAGUGAAUUCCUGGUGUAGCGGUGGAAUGCGCAGAUAUCAGGAGGAACACCGGUGGCGAAGGCGGGUCUCUGGGCAGUAACUGACGCUGGAGGAGCGAAAGCGUGGGGAGCGAACAGGAUAGAU